GAUGAACGCUGGCGGCGUGCCUAAUACAUGCAAGUCGAGCGAACAGAUGAGGAGCUUGCUCCUCUGACGUUAGCGGCGGACGGGUGAGUAACACGUGGAUAACCUACCUAUAAGACUGGGAUAACUUCGGGAAACCGGAGCUAAUACCGGAUAAUAUAUUGAACCGCAUGGUUCAAUAGUGAAAGACGGUUUUGCUGUCACUUAUAGAUGGAUCCGCGCCGCAUUAGCUAGUUGGUAAGGUAACGGCUUACCAAGGCAACGAUGCGUAGACGACCUGAGAGGGUGAUCGGCCACACUGGAACUGGGACACGGUCCAGACUCCUACGGGAGGCAGCAGUAGGGAAUCUUCCGCAAUGGGCGAAAGCCUGACGGAGCAACGCCGCGUGAGUGAUGAAGGUCUUCGGAUCGUAAAACUCUGUUAUUAGUGAAGAACAAAUGUGUAAGUAACUAUGCACGUCUUGACGGUACCUAAUCAGAAAGCCACGGCUAACUACGUG
This 497-nucleotide ribosomal RNA is filed under the name uncultured bacterium. Its description in RNAcentral is "partial 16S ribosomal RNA". It matches the Rfam family "Bacterial small subunit ribosomal RNA", at positions 28 to 507 of the family's 1533-position model. The record is from RNAcentral.